GCUUAUGGCCACACCGCCUGGUUCACGCCUGAUCUCGGAAGCUAAGAUAGGUUGGGCCUGGUUAGCACUUGGAUGGGAUACCACCUGGGAAUACCAGGUGCUGCAAGCU
This is a ribosomal RNA of Scophthalmus maximus (turbot), 109 nucleotides long. The record is from Ensembl. Lineage: Eukaryota; Metazoa; Chordata; Actinopteri; Pleuronectiformes; Scophthalmidae.